This 429-nucleotide ribosomal RNA is filed under the name Bacteroidota bacterium. Its description in RNAcentral is "Bacteroidetes bacterium partial 16S ribosomal RNA". It matches the Rfam family "Bacterial small subunit ribosomal RNA", at positions 355 to 776 of the family's 1533-position model. The record is from RNAcentral. Lineage: Bacteria; Pseudomonadati; Bacteroidota.
UAGGGAAUCUUCCGCAAUGGGCGAAAGCCUGACGGAGCAACGCCGCGUGAGUGAUGAAGGUCUUCGGAUCGUAAAACUCUGUUAUUAGGGAAGAACAAAUGUGUAAGUAACUAUGCACAUCUUGACGGUACCUAAUCAGAAAGCCACGGCUAACUACGUGCCAGCAGCCGCGGUAAUACGUAGGUGGCAAGCGUUAUCCGGAAUUAUUGGGCGUAAAGCGCGCGUAGGCGGUUUUUUAAGUCUGAUGUGAAAGCCCACGGCUCAACCGUGGAGGGGCAUUGGAAACUGGAAAACUUGAGUGCAGAAGAGGAAAGUGGAAUUCCAUGUGUAGCGGUGAAAUGCGCAGAGAGAUGGAGGAACACCAGUGGCGAAGGCGACUUUCUGGUCUGUAACUGACGCUGAUGUGCGAAAGCGUGGGGAUCAAACAGG